Molecule: ribosomal RNA, 303 nt
Filed under: uncultured bacterium
Lineage: Bacteria
Description: partial 16S ribosomal RNA
Rfam family: Bacterial small subunit ribosomal RNA
Source: RNAcentral
AGCAGUCGCCGCGGGAAUACGUAGGUGGCGAGCGUUGUCCGGAUUUAUUGGGCGUAAAGGGAGUGUAGGCGGUCUUUUAAGUCUGAUGUGAAAGCCCACGGCUCAACCGUGGGGGGUCAUUGGAAACUGGGAGACUUGAGUGCAGAAGAGGAGAGCGGAAUUCCAUGUGUAGCGGUGAAAUGCGUAGAUAUAUGGAGGAACACCAGUGGCGAAGGCGGCUCUCUGGUCUGUAACUGACGCUGAGGCUCGAAAGCGUGGGGAGCAAACAGGAUUAGAUACCCCCGUAGUCCCUGUCUCUUAUAC